Non-coding RNA from Dipodomys ordii (Ord's kangaroo rat), 65 nucleotides. The record is from Rfam. NCBI's taxonomy places the organism in Eukaryota, Metazoa, Chordata, Mammalia, Rodentia, Heteromyidae.
GGUGGCUCAGUGGUAGAGUGCUUGCCUUGCAUGCAUGAAGCCCUGGGUUCGAUUCCUCAGCACCA